UUGUGCUAGGCGGGGAGCUAGCGGUGCCCUUUUCCCGAAAUCCGCUUUAUGCGGGGCUGAAUUCCCUCUGGAGGGUUUUAACCUGGAAGCUUAUAAGUCAUUUUGAUCGGCCGCCGCGCAACAGACGGUUACGAACCUCGUCAGGUCCGGAAGGAAGCAGCGAUAAGUAAUGCAGUCUGUGUCGUGGAUCGAUCCCGGUCAAGCUUCUGGCUUAUUCUAUUUCAGGAAGAGACUCAAUAGGGGGUGCACAA
Non-coding RNA from Desulfobacterales bacterium PC51MH44, 251 nucleotides. NCBI's taxonomy places the organism in Bacteria, Pseudomonadati, Thermodesulfobacteriota, Desulfobacteria, Desulfobacterales. The record is from Rfam.